This 1062-nucleotide long non-coding RNA is filed under the name Homo sapiens (human). RNAcentral describes it as "HSALNT0334456". Lineage: Eukaryota; Metazoa; Chordata; Mammalia; Primates; Hominidae. The record is from RNAcentral.
ACCAUUUGAUACCAUCUGUUUCUCACACACAUCCAUGAGGGAAGAAUCAUUCCCAUUUAACAGACAAUGUAACUGGGCCUGAAUAUAGCUCAGCGACUUGCCCCAGGCCCACCAGGAAGUGGAUAAAGCCAUGCUCAACCCAGCACUUCUUCUCUCUACCUUCCACCGAUCCUGCCUGCUCAUCUUCCCUCCUUGGUGAAGGCAUGUGUGCUGUGCUCUGCUUAACUAAUUUCCCUCAGAUAUUCGCAUUUCUGUCUUUACAAUUUGGCAUCCCAGUGAGGUUUCCCUUUGUAUAUUUUCCGGUUCCUAUAUUCCCAUUAUUCAGGUAUCAUCACUCAAUAACCAUUUGACAGCAGUAAUGCUUUUCACAUGGAAAGAAUUGGGUUUUUAUUGAUGGCAAAUGUUGUGAUGAACUUUCAUGCCCACUUGGAGCCGGAGCACUUUUUUAUAGAAUGAACCACAAUGAGAAGCGUUUCCAAGAAAUGUCUUUGGAGUGUGGACUGAGAUGUACGUUUAGGAACAGGUCCUGUGGCCAGAGUGGGGAGAGAGGGGGCUUCCCAUUGUCAAAAUCUCAUCAAUCAAAAUGUAUAAUAGCAACAUUAUUAAUAACCCUAUAGUUGCAUUGCACUUGGUGCUCUUCCAAGCACUUCCCUAGAAUCCUAAAAUGAAGGCAGGGCAGAUAUUAUAUCCAUGUUACAGGUUAAACAACAUUGUAACAGGACUGAUAACACCAUGAAUGAGAAGUCAUUUGAUCAAUGGAACUCAACCAUCUCAUGCUCCUACUACCAUGGUUGACGAGGAAGCUGAGCCACCAGACAGAGCAGUGGUGACCUACAGAGCCGUGCUUUCAUGACCAUAUGGCCUCUCAGCCGCGGGACUUGCCACACUGUCCCAUACAAUCCUCUGUCAUUUUAGUAUCUGUCACUGCCAGGUCUUCUUCACACCAGCUUGUGAGAAAAAAUGGUGCAUCACUUCUCAAUCCUGGUUUUAGUGACAUCAUAUUGAUAGCUUGAACUUUGCCAUAUUUACAUCACAGAAAUCAGUAAACACCAUUAAAAAGGC